GACGAACGCUGGCGGCGUGCUUAACACAUGCCAGUCGAACGGAAAGGCCCUGCUUGCAGGGUACUCGAGUGGCGAACGGGUGAGUAACACGUGGGUGAUCUGCCCUGCACUUCGGGAUAAGCUUGGGAAACUGGGUCUAAUACCGGAUAGGAACCAUCUUUAGUGUGGUGGUUGGAAAGUUUUUUCGGUGUAGGAUGAGCUCGCGGCCUAUCAGCUUGUUGGUGGGGUAAUGGCCUACCAAGGCGGCGACGGGUAGCCGGCCUGAGAGGGUGUACGGCCACAUUGGGACUGAGAUACGGCCCAGACUCCUACGGGAGGCAGCAGUGGGGAAUAUUGCACAAUGGGCGCAAGCCUGAUGCAGCGACGCCGCGUGGGGGAUGAAGGCCUUCGGGUUGUAAACUCCUUUCGCUAGGGACGAAGCUUUUUGUGACGGUACCUAGAUAAGAAGCACCGGCUAACUACGUG
Molecule: ribosomal RNA, 465 nt
Filed under: uncultured bacterium
Lineage: Bacteria
Description: partial 16S ribosomal RNA
Rfam family: Bacterial small subunit ribosomal RNA
Source: RNAcentral